Molecule: ribosomal RNA, 509 nt
Filed under: uncultured Bacteroidales bacterium
Lineage: Bacteria; Pseudomonadati; Bacteroidota; Bacteroidia; Bacteroidales
Description: bacterial SSU rRNA
Rfam family: Bacterial small subunit ribosomal RNA
Source: RNAcentral
AGAGUUUGAUCCUGGCUCAGGAUGAACGCUAGCGGCAGGCUUAACACAUGCAAGUCGAGGGGCAUCGGGAGGGAAGCUUGCUUUCCUUGCCGGCGACCGGCGCACGGGUGAGUAACACGUAUGCAACCUGCCCUCUUCAGGGGGACAACCUUCCGAAAGGGAGGCUAAUCCCGCGUAUAUCGGUUUCGGGCAUCCGAGAUCGAGGAAAGAUUCAUCGGAAGAGGAUGGGCAUGCGGCGCAUUAGCUUGACGGCGGGGUAACGGCCCACCGUGGCGACGAUGCGUAGGGGUUCUGAGAGGAAGGUCCCCCACACUGGUACUGAGACACGGACCAGACUCCUACGGGAGGCAGCAGUGAGGAAUAUUGGUCAAUGGGAGAGAUCCUGAACCAGCCAAGCCGCGUGAGGGAAGACGGCCCUAUGGGUUGUAAACCUCUUUUGUCGGAGAACAAAACCCGGGACGUGUCCCGGACCGCGUGUAUCCGAAGAAAAAGCAUCGGCUAACUCCGUG